This 297-nucleotide ribosomal RNA is filed under the name uncultured bacterium. RNAcentral describes it as "partial 16S ribosomal RNA". It matches the Rfam family "Bacterial small subunit ribosomal RNA", at positions 333 to 644 of the family's 1533-position model. The record is from RNAcentral.
AAGUUCCUACGGGAGGCAGCAGUGGGGAAUAUUGGACAAUGGGGGGAACCCUGAUCCAGCGACGCCGCGUGAGUGAAGAAGUAUUUCGGUAUGUAAAGCUCUAUCAGCAGGGAAGAAAGAAAUGACGGUACCUGACUAAGAAGCCCCGGCUAACUACGUGCCAGCAGCCGCGGUAAUACGUAGGGGGCAAGCGUUAUCCGGAUCUACUGGGUGUAAAGGGAGCGUAGACGGUGAUGCAAGUCUGAAGUGAAAGGCGGGGGCCCAACCCCCGGACUGCUUUGGAAACUGUAUAGCUGG